RNAcentral lists this ribosomal RNA (810 nucleotides) under uncultured bacterium. Its description in RNAcentral is "bacterial SSU rRNA". It matches the Rfam family "Bacterial small subunit ribosomal RNA", at positions 1 to 806 of the family's 1533-position model. The record is from RNAcentral.
UAGAGUUUGAUCCUGGCUCAGGAUGAACGCUAGCUACAGGCUUAACACAUGCAAGUCGAGGGGCAUCAUUAUCGAAGCUUGCUUUGAUAGAUGGCGACCGGCGCACGGGUGAGUAACGCGUAUCCAACCUUCCCCUUAGUAGAGGAUAGCCCGGCGAAAGUCGGAUUAAUACUCUAUGUUGUAUUUUGAGGACAUCUGACGAAUACCAAAGAUUUAUCGCUAAGGGAUGGGGAUGCGUCUGAUUAGCUUGUCGGCGGGGUAACGGCCCACCGAGGCGACGAUCAGUAGGGGUUCUGAGAGGAAGGUCCCCCACAUUGGUACUGAGACACGGACCAAACUCCUACGGGAGGCAGCAGUGAGGAAUAUUGGUCAAUGGGCGUAGGCCUGAACCAGCCAAGUAGCGUGCAGGAAGACUGCCCUAUGGGUUGUAAACUGCUUUUAUGCGGGAAUAAAGUCAGGUACGUGUACCUGUUUGCAUGUACCGCAUGAAUAAGGACCGGCUAAUUCCGUGCCAGCAGCCGCGGUAAUACGGAAGGUCCGGGCGUUAUCCGGAUUUAUUGGGUUUAAAGGGAGCGCAGGCGGAGGAUUAAGCGUGACGUGAAAUGUCCCGGCUCAACCGUGGAACUGCGUCGCGAACUGGUUUUCUUGAGUGAGUGCGACGUCGGCGGAAUUCGUGGUGUAGCGGUGAAAUGCUUAGAUAUCACGAAGAACCCCGAUUGCGAAGGCAGCCGACGAGUCCUUAACUGACGCUAAAGCUCGAAAGUGCGGGUAUCGAACAGGAUUAGAUACCCUGGUAGUCCGCACGGUAAA